UCCCGAACCCGCCUGGAGCUGGCGGCAGCCGCUGCUCGUGCUGACAAAAACAUCCUCUAGAGGGAACUGCCAGCCCAGAGAUUGUUCCAGUGCCGCCAGGAAAGGAGCAUCACCCCACGAGGGCGUGAUCGGGACCAGGAGUGGAGAUACCGCAUGGUCAGGGCGGCCGCCUCCCUUCCCAGUGACCGUCCCGCCUGCCAGCUCACCUGGGGACAGCGCUGGGCUGCGGCACGAGGCUCUGGGGGCAGCAAAAACCUGCGUGCCACAGUCCUGGCAGAGUCCUGGCACUCCGGCAGCCCUGCCGGGCGCAGUCCCUCCCCACCGUGGGGACAGCACAGGCUGGAGAGCGGUACCCCGGCUCCCAGGUGUCCUGUUCCCUGCAGGGGACAAUCGGGACCCCUCUGCAGAGCCCCUCGUCCCUCUGCUUUCCAGGACAAGAGCCCAUCAAGGUGAUCGGGGUUGUCUUGGGCAUCGGGCUGGCCCUGCUGAUCCUGGCGAGUUUUGGCUACACCUUCAUCCGCUGGUACCGGAGGAGCCACUCCCUGCGCCGGCCUGACUUUGUCUUCAACCUCUACCACUCACGCGGGCUGGGGUCGGUGGCACUGGAGCUGGUGCCACCAUUCAGCAUCAGUGGCUCGCUGGGCACCUCGGGCAGUG
Oenanthe melanoleuca is the source of this 657-nucleotide long non-coding RNA. RefSeq lists it as uncharacterized. NCBI's taxonomy places the organism in Eukaryota, Metazoa, Chordata, Aves, Passeriformes, Muscicapidae. The record is from RefSeq and is a predicted model, not a curated record. The transcript has 3 exons.